RNAcentral lists this unclassified non-coding RNA (2177 nucleotides) under Hevea brasiliensis (rubber tree). Lineage: Eukaryota; Viridiplantae; Streptophyta; Magnoliopsida; Malpighiales; Euphorbiaceae. The record is from RNAcentral.
UGGAGGCAAUAUUGUUUUUCUUUUUAACAAACUGAAAGGCUCAUAAAUAAGCUAGAGGUGUUCGUUAAAAUUGGGUGGAAGAACUUUGAUGAGUUGCUUUUAAUUUUUGUAACGGUUCUUUAAAAACUUCAUUUUGGCUUAUUGGCGACCCGGUCAAAUCUAGUGUAUAGCAUAGAGAAUCGCUAAACCGGUGAGACCCGGUUCGUGCAAAACUACGUCGUUUUGGACAAAGAUUAAAGGAGAGAAAAUUGGAAGGAGCCCUAAAUCAAAUCUGCGGAUAGUCGCGAUUUCUUUCCCGUCUUUCCUUUAUCUACCUUGUCACUUCAUGAUUCACCGUCUCACCGAAUCCGGCAUCCUCAAGAUCCGGCUACGGCUGGACGUUGAAACUCCGGCGUUUUUUUCUUUGGGACCAAUGCCGCUUCUUUAUUUUUGUUAUUAAACCCUUUUCAAGUUCACCUGCAAUUUUUGGUUAGUUUUCAUGUAAUUUCAAGAACUUUUAUUGAGCUAAUUUUGACACAUCCUAAGAACAAGUACUUCAUCUGUUACAUUUAUGCUCUUCAACUCUCAGCCUCAGCCCAAUAUGUCUGUCUCCUAAUCACUAAUCCUUUCUUUUAUUACUUUGUGGAUAUAAAAAAAAUAAUAAAUAGAGAAAAUAAAAAGAAUAUAUGUAUUUUUCAUUAUAUGAGGAAAUAAAUAGAAAAAAUUUGCAGACCGGAUUUGAAAACCUGAUUGUGGAGUAUUGGAUUGGUGAGCAAUUAGUGUUGUGCCGUCGUGCCAAUUAUGAUGGGGUUCUUAAACUCAAUUUUUUCCGAGAUCAAGGAGAGGAGUGAGAGAUUAUAGGCAUGAAUCAUAUGGGUUUUGGAGAGGGUGGCGAUGGAAAGGUACAAGCGGUUUCGGGUUGGGGGUGCAUAAGAAUGUGGAGGGUGGGUAAUAUUAGGGGCUCAUUUGGCGCUUACCCAAUUUUCAAAUGUUAGUUGAAGAACCGAUUCCUGCCAACUCAGUAACAACUUUGAGAGCCCUACAACAAUACCUAUUCCAUCUAUUACAAAGUUGCAAAACCCUAAAAAAUCUAUCUCAAAUCCACACCCAAAUACUUAUUAAUGGCUUUUCCCAGAAAAAUUAUGUUGUUGCUAAGUUACUUUCAUUCUACAUAGCCUCUGGUCAUCUCCUCUCUGCACACGAAGUAUUCAAAAAUAUUAAAAACCCAAGUGUUACUCUAUGGAAUCAGAUGAUCAGAGGCCAUGCUCGAAGCGAAUCGCCUCAAAAGUCUGUUAUACUUUUCAAUCAAAUGAGAGUCGUAGCGGUGGAGCCUAAUGGGUUCACUUAUUCGUUCCUUUUGAGUGGUUGCGCUAGGUCAGGAUUGUUGAGAGAGGGCGAACAGGUGCAUGGAAGAGUUUUGGUGAAAGGUUAUUGCUCAAAUGUGUUUGUGCAGACGAAUUUGGUUAAUUUAUAUGCAAUGGCUGGUGCUGACUUUGGAGUUGGAUAUGCACGUCGUGUGUUUGAUGAUAUGGGUGAUAGAAAUGUUGUGAGUUGGAAUUCGAUGCUUGCAGGGUAUAUGAGGUGUGGGAAUGUUGAUGAGGCAAGGAGGGUUUUUGAUGAGAUGAUGGAGAGGAAUGUUGUCUCUUGGACGACUAUGAUUGCAGGGUACGCUCGAAAUGGUAAGAGUAGGAAGGCAUUGAACUUGUUCAGUGAAAUGAGGAGAGCCUGUGUAGAAUUGGACCAGGUGGCGUUGGUGGCAGCACUAUCAGCAUGUGCUGAACUGGGGGAUUUGAGAUUGGGCAGGCGGAUUCACUCGUAUAUUAAAGAGACAUUGAAUGGUAAAAACCGGUCCUUACUGAUUUCUUUGUACAAUGCACUUAUACACAUGUAUGCUAGCUGUGGUGUGAUUGAAGAAGCUUAUGAAGUAUUUAGAUGGAUGCCACAGAGAAGUAAGGUUUCUUGGACAACCAUGAUCAGUGCAUUUGCAAAACAGGGCUAUGGACAAGAGGCGCUUGCUAUUUUUCAAUUGAUGCAAAGCUUGGGAGCCGAAGGAGCAAGGCCUGAUGAGAUAACCUUCAUAGAAGUCCUAAGUGCUUGCAGCCAUGCUGGACUUGUGAAUGAGGGUCGCCAAUUCUUCAUAGACAUGAUUCAGACUUGGGGCAUUAAGCCCAGAAUGGAGCACUAUGGAUGCAUGGUUG